This 76-nucleotide transfer RNA is filed under the name Chloroflexota bacterium. RNAcentral's name for it is "Chloroflexi bacterium (sediment metagenome) tRNA-Ala". It matches the Rfam family "tRNA". Rfam says of the family: Transfer RNA (tRNA) molecules are approximately 80 nucleotides in length. Their secondary structure includes four short double-helical elements and three loops (D, anti-codon, and T loops). Lineage: Bacteria; Bacillati; Chloroflexota. The record is from RNAcentral.
GGGGCGGUAGCUCAGCUGGGAGAGCACCUGGUUUGCAACCAGGGGGUCACGGGUUCGAAUCCCGUCCGCUCCAUCA